GCACAGGGGUUUGCUGUGCUGGUCCUGUAGGGCCAGCAGUAUAAAAGAGCCGUGGGUGGUGCUGCUCUGGUCCUGUAGGGCCGGCAGUGAUGGAGCUGUGGGGUUUUGCCACCGGCACGACGGCUGCAGCUGAUGGGGUGCAGAAGAGCACCCUGAGAGGAGGCACGGCCUCGAGCAGGCAGAGACACAGACCUCUGGGCUCUGGGGAUUUGAGUGCUUCGUACAUGAACUUCCUGGCUGCGAGAGGCAUCGCUUUCUGAAACUCCUGGUGCUGGCUGUCGUACCUGUCCAUGCUCUACGUGCUGUGACCCCAGGAGCCCACCUGCGAGUGCUGCUUUGAUCGUUUCUGUUCAGUCUGUGUGCUGCUUGCUGCAGCUCUCAAAUUCUUCAGUACUGUCACUCAGAGGACUACUCCCAUGUGGAAAUGUUUCCUGGGGGAGUUCUGCCUGAAGUGGGGAAGCAUGGUCUGUAGGUGGAUGGCAAGGGUGUGGGGGCUGGUUGGAGCUGCAGGCGCUGUCCGGUGGCUGGGCUGGUACCAGCAGGCAUGCUUCUCCUGUCUCUGUUGAAGACCUGAGAGAACUUCCUUAGUGUAUCAGAUUGUGUGAUUUAUUUAUUUAUUUUUUGCUUGGCCACCAGGUGGGUUGAGCAUAUGACCACCCCAUGUGCUCCAGCUGCUGACAGCCAGCCCAGGGAGCAAUGCCCUCAGACCUGUCCCAUUGGCAGAAGGCUGCCACUACCAAAUGGGAGGGUAGGGUGCUUUCUGCUGCCUUCUGCAGGAGGCCCUCCUACACAGAGGUACCAGACUGAUAGAUAUGUGCUAACGAGAUAGCAGCCCCAAAGACUCUGGGGUUAUCCCUUCUACAGAUCUGGGUCACCCUACUGUCAGAUGACCCCUUCAAAGUCUAGAACUGGCACAAAUCAGAGGUCAAGUAGGGGCUAAUGUGCUGGUUAAUGCUGAUUGUGCCUCAGGUGGGACACAUCCGAGAUAACAUUCUGUUGCUCACUCAUGUGCAGCCAGUUACAGGAUUAGCUCCUUAGCACAAGCUGGAGGAAUACUGUUUGUGGUACAACAUGUUGUUGCAGCAACAGUUUACACCGUGUAUGAGCAGCAGUGGUACAUGCAGAUCAGGUGCUCGAGACUUAGAAAAAAAUGCACGGACUGGUUUGACACCUUCCUGUUGGGAAGGAUGUGGUAAAUAUAAAUCCAGGCUGGGGGAGCCUUUUGGCAUCCCAAAAGCUGACAGUGCUGCGGAAGGUGAGUGGCAAUGCACAAAAUUGUGUGAAACUCUAAAUACUUGAAACUCCAGCACCUUGGAUCUUUGCAGUCCUCUUGUGAGUGGAGGCAGUGCUCUGAGGGUCUGUGCUGCCCAACAGGAGAGAAAGAUGUGAAUCCCCAUCGUUCUCUUCCUCCUUCCCCAUGAUCUGCCUGGGGUCACCCAAGGGAGGGGUAGCUCUCUGCAAAGCCAUAGGAUUGCAUUUGAUGUGGUUAAAAGAAACAGAGUUCCUUCUGGUUCAGAACUGGGCCCUCUUCUUCCCCUAUGAACUGCCCUUGGAGACAUUAAAAUGCAUUUUACUUAUUCUUGCACAAAUGAUUUGCUAAUUGACAUAAUCAUGACACCAGACUGAUUUGAGUGGAUUGUUGCAGAACACAAAAACAUGGGGAGGAAAAUUGGAGUACUUUCUGCUGAUAUUUUCCCAACUUUUUGCUUCUCUUUCACUGAGCCGACUUUUCAUUU
This is a long non-coding RNA of Anas platyrhynchos (mallard), 1736 nucleotides long. RefSeq lists it as uncharacterized. Lineage: Eukaryota; Metazoa; Chordata; Aves; Anseriformes; Anatidae. The record is from RefSeq and is a predicted model, not a curated record.